This 648-nucleotide ribosomal RNA is filed under the name uncultured archaeon. RNAcentral's name for it is "bacterial SSU rRNA". It matches the Rfam family "Archaeal small subunit ribosomal RNA", at positions 1 to 654 of the family's 1478-position model. The record is from RNAcentral.
UUCCGGUUGAUCCUGCCGGAGGCUACCGCUAUUGGAGUUCGAUUAAGCCAUGCGAGUCGCGAGAAAUUAGAUUCUCGGCGUACCGCUCAGUAACACGUGGGUAACCUGCCCUAUGCUGGAUAAUAACCUCGGGAAACUGAGAAUAAUGAUCCAUAGUUCACUACGCCUGGAACGGUGAGUGGAUGAAAGCUCCGGCGGCAUAGGAUGGGCCUGCGGCGUAUCAGGUUGUAGGGGGUGUAACGUACCCUCUAGCCCUCUACGCGUACGGGUGUUGGGAGACAUAGCCCGGAGAUGGAUUCUGAGACACGAAUCCAGACCCUACGGGGUGCAGCAGGCGCGAAAACUUGGCAAUGCGAGAAAUCGUGACCAGGGAACUCCAAGUGCAUCGGGUAAGACCGGUGCUUUUCUUGACUCUAAAUAGGUCUUGGAAUAAGGGGUGGGUAAGGACGGUGCCAGCCGCCGCGGUAAUACCGGCGCCUCAAGUGGUAGUCGCUUUUAUUGGGCCUAAAACGUCCGUAGCCGGUCUGAUACAUUCGUGGGUAAAUCAACCAGCUCAACUGGUUGAAUUCUGCGAGGACGGUCAGACUUGGGACCGGGAGAGGUGUGGGGUACGCUCAGGGUAGGGGUAAAAUCCUGUCAUCCUGAGCG